UCUCUCUGCCCCUUUCCUCAUCUGAAAACAUUGCUGCAGACACUGCACACUACUUUUGAAAGAGUGCCAGUCCCUAAUGCAGGCCUUUGGCAGGGACAGGGAGAGAUAAAAGGGCCAGAGUAUAAAUUGCUAAAGAUUUUCUGUCCAAGAGGCAUACCAGAUACCUGAACUCUACCAAAGGAACCUCAAAGUCUCGUUUGACUUUUCUUGCAACAGGGGUAAAAUGCAUGUGAAGAAGGAAAACCAGAAGGUGUGAUGAAGGGACAGAAGGAAUUAGAGGUCUCCUGCAUGAAUAGGUGUCAGUCAUGGGAUCUCAGGGUCCAGAAAACAGACACAUACAGUUACUUUGAAAAUUGAAAUGGCUAACAGACUG
Long non-coding RNA from Chinchilla lanigera (long-tailed chinchilla), 373 nucleotides. RefSeq lists it as uncharacterized. The record is from RefSeq and is a predicted model, not a curated record. NCBI's taxonomy places the organism in Eukaryota, Metazoa, Chordata, Mammalia, Rodentia, Chinchillidae. The transcript has 3 exons.